AACGCACCUUGCGCUCCUUGGUAUUCCGAGGAGCAUGCCUGUCUGAGCGUCGUCGAAUCCUCAAACCCCCACUCCAGGUUUCCCUCGAAGCCUUUUCGGGGUUUGGACUCUGGGAGUCUCUGCCGGCUUUUCCGUAGAGAAGUCAGGCUCUCCUGAAAUGCAUUAGCUCGUGGGUCGCGAUCCUCGCACGGCACGGCCUUCUCGGCGUCGUAAUGAUCGUCGUGGGCUGGAAGUGCGUGGUCGGUCGGAUUCCCCCAUGCUCCUAAUCCCUCGCUUGCGGAUCGACCUCAGAUCAGGCAGGACUACCCGCCGAACUUAA
RNAcentral lists this ribosomal RNA (319 nucleotides) under uncultured Calostoma. RNAcentral's name for it is "eukaryotic LSU rRNA". The stretch from base 1 to 52 matches the Rfam family "5.8S ribosomal RNA", at positions 103 to 154 of the family's 154-position model. Lineage: Eukaryota; Fungi; Basidiomycota; Agaricomycetes; Boletales; Calostomataceae. The record is from RNAcentral.